Molecule: small nucleolar RNA, 157 nt
Organism: Cornus florida
Lineage: Eukaryota; Viridiplantae; Streptophyta; Magnoliopsida; Cornales; Cornaceae
Product: small nucleolar RNA Z247
Exons: 1
Source: RefSeq, a predicted model, not a curated record
CCUAUGGAUAAUAAGGACCUUAUUAAAAAAAUUCUUGAUGGGCUUGAUGAUGAUUAUAAGCCUAUCGUUGACGUCAUUAAUGGCCGUGACACACCAAUUUCCUUUAAUAAACUACAUGAAAAAUUAAUCAACAAGGAACUCUAGCUGUGUCUCCAUC